This is a long non-coding RNA of Anthonomus grandis grandis, 818 nucleotides long. RefSeq lists it as uncharacterized. NCBI's taxonomy places the organism in Eukaryota, Metazoa, Arthropoda, Insecta, Coleoptera, Curculionidae. The record is from RefSeq and is a predicted model, not a curated record. The transcript has 3 exons.
CGCAGCGCCGUGCGCCGCUUGUCUGGCUGGUGACGAGAGUCGUCCACCGAACGGGGGAGCUAUUCGAUAUUAUAUCAAUUUCGGUAAUUGCAUGCUACUGUUUUUCCGCUGUAAUUUCUAUACCUAUGAUUUUGUGCUUUUUGGGGUAGUUGUGUUUCGUGUUAUUAUUGUUUUUUCUUUUGUCUUUGCGUUUUUUAUUCUUAUCUAUUUUAUUGUGUAUUAGUUAACCAUUUUUAUUGGCGGUUUAAAAAAUUUUAAUAAUAAACAAUGGGUAAACGAAAGGAGGGUAAAAAAGAUGUGUAUUAUAUUAAUAAAAAAUCUUUAAAACAGAGAAUGAAACAAGCCCGAUCUAAUAAAAUAAAUAAUUUAAGAACUGCAUCUGAAACUUUUAAAAAUACUGUUUCUGUUAAAAAUACUGUUUCUGUCGACUAUCUAGAAGAAAAGGCUCGCGAGGAAUCCAGGUUAGUAUAGGAUUUUUUAUAAGCAUUUAGAGAAGUGCCUUUUUUAACUUUUUAAUGUUUUUAAGGUAACUUUUUUGAGUAUUUAGAAUUUACAACAACAUUAUCCUGAAAAAUACAACAUAUUCCAUAGAAAAAUAACUUUCAUUUAUUACAGUAAUGAUUUCAUUUAUUACCCUCGUGUGGUUAUAAUUAUCAAGAUUCUCAGCAACAAAUAUCGCCAACAAUUUUGAAUAAUUAUAGUGAGUUAAAUGUUGAAGAUUCUAUGAGUAUAGAAAAUGAUAAUAAACUUGAAAAUGGUGCUAAAAGUCAAAGCCAACAAGAAAAUAAUUUAGAAUCGGCGAAAAAAAGAAAAAAGUG